Molecule: ribosomal RNA, 497 nt
Filed under: uncultured bacterium
Lineage: Bacteria
Description: partial 16S ribosomal RNA
Rfam family: Bacterial small subunit ribosomal RNA
Source: RNAcentral
GACGAACGCUGGCGGCGUGCCUAAUACAUGCAAGUUGAGCGAUGAAGAUUGGUGCUUGCACCAAUUUGAAGAGCAGCGAACGGGUGAGUAACGCGUGGGGAAUCUGCCUUUGAGCGGGGGACAACAUUUGGAAACGAAUGCUAAUACCGCAUAACAACUUUAAACAUAAGUUUUAAGUUUGAAAGAUGCAAUUGCAUCACUCAAAGAUGAUCCCGCGUUGUAUUAGCUAGUUGGUGAGGUAAAGGCUCACCAAGGCGAUGAUACAUAGCCGACCUGAGAGGGUGAUCGGCCACAUUGGGACUGAGACACGGCCCAAACGCCUACGGGAGGCAGCAGUAGGGAAGCUUCGGCAAUAGACGAAAGUCUGACCGAGCAACGCCGCGUGAGUGAAGAAGGUUUUCGGAUCGUAAAACUCUGUUGGUAGAGAAGAACGUUGGUGAGAGUGGAAAGCUCAUCAAGUGACGGUAACUACCCAGAAAGGGACGGCUAACUACGUG